CCUACGGGAGGCAGCAGUGAGGAAUAUUGGUCAAUGGCCGGAAGCCUGAACCAGCCAAGUCGCGUGAAGGAUGAAGGUACUAUGUUUCGUAAACUUCUUUUAUCUGGGAAUAAAGUGAGGGACGUGUUCCUUUUUGUAUGUACCAUAUGAAUAAGCAUCGGCUAACUCCGUGCCAGCAGCCGCGGUAAUACGGAGGAUGCGAGCGUUAUCCGGAUUUAUUGGGUUUAAAGGGUGCGUAGGUGGGUAAUUAAGUCAGCGGUGAAAGUUUGGGGCUCAACCCUAAAAUAGCCGUUGAAACUGGCUGACUGGAGUAUAUGUGAGGUAGGCGGAAUGCGUGGUGUAGCGGUGAAAUGCAUAGAUAUCACGCAGAACUCCGAUUGCGAAGGCAGCGUACUAAACCAUAACUGACACUGAAGCACGAAAGCGUGGGGAUCAAACAGGAUUAGAUACCCGAGUAGUC
This 460-nucleotide ribosomal RNA is filed under the name uncultured bacterium. RNAcentral describes it as "partial 16S ribosomal RNA". It matches the Rfam family "Bacterial small subunit ribosomal RNA", at positions 338 to 795 of the family's 1533-position model. The record is from RNAcentral.